Molecule: ribosomal RNA, 5580 nt
Filed under: Triticum aestivum (bread wheat)
Lineage: Eukaryota; Viridiplantae; Streptophyta; Magnoliopsida; Poales; Poaceae
Description: partial small subunit ribosomal RNA
Source: RNAcentral
CCCGUCGACGCACGCCCUCCCGCCGCCUCCGCCGCCUCCGCCGCAUCCUCCUGCCUCCGCCGAGACAUCUGCGGGUGCUCCUUCCCGCGCCGCCGUCUUCGACACCCGCCGAUGCCACCGCGGUGCCUCGUCGAGAAGGGUGUUGAAUAAGUCAUAAGUGUUUAUGGACUUCAAGCCAGUAGAGGAUUUUUCCUGCACUGCUUAUCCUGCUUUAUUUCACAGUGGAUUGGCAGAUCAGAACUUAUCAAAGAAAUGCUGAUGGAUCCACCUGUUAUGCAAGCGGAUUGCCAAUUACAGAAUGACGUGGAGAAAAUGUCAUCUAUUUCUUAUGAUAGGAAACAUACCUUAUCACGUAAUGACCACGGGUGGCAAGCCUCCGAUGUUCAUCAGAAUGCCGCAAUAAGUUGUAACCCUGUUGAAGUUAACAAUUCUUCUGGCUCGAGCACAGAUGAGAAAGUAGAUGGUUCCUCUGAAAAGUCUUCUGUUAGCUUGGAUGGUUUCUCAGAGGUGAACUUUUUUGUACCACAUAAAGAAAAGAACGUCCAGGAUGCUUACUUCAAUGAUGUAAGGUUUCAAUUGAAUGCAAGCUUGGAAAAUAAUGGCUCCCCAGGGGAUGCCAACUGCAGCAAACACUGCAUCAGUAAGAAGGAUUUACAUCAUUCCCAGGAGGAGAUGUGUUCACCGUCCAAUAUAGUAACUGGACUUAGGUCAUGCCAGUCAAAUGGAGAUGUCCUUCCUUCCAAAGGCAAGAAAAUGACAGAAGUACAACUCACAUAUAACAUCAAUGUUGAUGCAGAAAGUAAGGAAUUUGGGACUGACAUUGCAAGUAAGGGAGUCGGGACUGACUUGGUAAACAAGGAAGUCGGCAACGAUAUGGCAGGAUCUCAUGAUGCCCAAAAGGAGUUGCCGUGCCCACUUCAAGGUCUAUCAGAAAGAUCAUGCGAUGGGUUAGUAAGUAAAAUAUUUUCUCAGGAAGAGAAUGAGACAUCUGUCUCACCUAAAAACGGCAUGGAUAUGCUUGUUCAUAACAACAGUUGUAAUGGCAAUACUAAUGAUGUUGGCGAAGAGAUGGAUACAAGAAGUAUCGAAGAAGAAGAUCAUGCCGUGGCACUUUGGGUAAAGUGGAGAGGAAAAUGGCGAACAGGAAUUCGAUGCUGUAGGGUGGACUGUCCUUUGUCCACUCUCAAGGCAAAACCAACUAUUGACAGGAAGACCUAUAUUGUUGUUUUCUUUCCACAAACAAGGACUUAUUCUUGGGUGGACAUGCUACUAGUCCUUCCAAUUGAUGAAUAUCCUGUGCCACUUGUGAAUGGAACUCAUCGCAAAUGGCGAAAGAUGGUGAAGGAUUUGAGUGUUCCUCGACGAUUCAUCAUGCAGAAGCUUGCUAUCUCAAUGCUAAACUUUAGCGAUGAACUUCACACUGAGGCCAUAAUUGAGAAUGCUCGGAAGGCAACAGCUUGGAAAGAAUUUGCUCGGGAAGCAUCAUGCUGUGGAGAUUACACUGAUCUUGGGAAGAUGCUUGUCAAACUUAAAAAGAUGAUUCUUCCAGACUACACAAGCUCUCAUUGGCUCCAAAAUUCUUCUGACUUGUGGGGCCAGAAGUGUAAUAUUGCUCAUGAUGCUGAGACUGUUGAAAUUCUUGCCGAGGAACUUAGGCAGUCUGUUCUUUGGGACAAGGUCGAUGAGUUGUGGAAUGCACCAAUGCAGCCUGAAUUAGUACCAGAGUGGAAAACAUGGAAACAAGAAGUCAUGAAACAGUUCUUUUCAUCACAUGCUGUAGGUAAUACGGGCAACUUUGAUCAAAGCAAUAGCUAUGAUGAUCCAGGUAUGGAUCAACAAGCUCGCAGAAAGCGUCCCAAACUUGAAGUGCGCAGAGGAGAACCACAUUUUUCUCACGCGAAUGAUGCUAACUGCAGCAUUCUCAGUGAGGGCCUGAACGGUAAUAACUUCCCUAGUAGACCUAUCACUGAUGGACAUAUGGAAGUGUUAGCAUCAGUGGAUCAGAAUAACACUGGCACCUUCCUCAGUAAUUCUGCCCCCCAUGAGAUUGCAGAAUCAGGCCGCAUCAACCCAGCUUUACAGAAUGCCAGACAUGAGUUUGAUUCCUUGAAGAAUUCUCGGCAGUGUUCUGCAUACAUAGAAACAAAAGGAAGACAGUGCGGCAGGUGGGCUAAUGAUGGUGAUAUUUAUUGCUGUGUGCAUCAAAGCAUGCAUGACCGUUAUUCUAGGGAGGACAGGGGACUUAGUGGUGAUGCUUUAGUCUGUAGUGGUAUGACUAAUUUGGGUAGACAAUGCAAGCAUCGAGCCCAGCAUGGUUCUAUUUUCUGCAAAAAACACCGUUCCCAGACAAGCCUGGAUACUGUAAGCUCUGAUAAUUUAUUCAGUUCAUCUGGGGGUCUCCAUAAAAGGGAAGAGUCUCCAAAAGGAAUGGAAAAGAAUUCCAACUCAAGUGCAAUAUGCAUUGUGGAUGCAGAAAGGGCCAGUAGUUCCCAAGUUCCUCUUCAAAUGCAAUUGACCUCGACCAUGGCUGCAGAGAUUUCAGGUGAUAAAGCUUGUGGAUUGGAGAACCCUGAUAUGUUCUACCCCAUGUCAACUUCCAUGGCAAAAGCUAAUUCAGAUACUGAUCUUUGCAUUGGAAUUCUUUCUCAUGACAAUAUUGUUGAAUGCCAGGAUUAUGCUAAGCGACACACUCUUUACUGCGAGAAGCACCUUCCAAAGUUCCUUAAACGUGCCAGGAACGGAAAGAGUCGACUCAUAUCUAAAGAUGUUUUUAUCAAUCUAUUGAAGGGCUGUGCAUCAAGGCAAGAAAAAAUAUGUUUACACCGGGCAUGUGAGUUUCUUUAUUGGUUCUUGAGAAACAACUUCUCUCGUCAACAAUCUGGUCUUGGUAAUGACUAUAUGCCUCAGAUUCUAGCUGAAGUGUCCAAGGAUACUGAUGUUGGAGAAUUUUUGUUAAAGUUGAUCUCUAGUGAAAGAGAAAAACUCACAAAUCUUUGGGGCUUUGGUACAAAUGGAUCUCAGCAAAUAAAUCCUGAUAACCAAGAGGGAUCUAUGAUAGUGUUGCAAGAAGAGAAAACUAAUCAUUCAGCUGGUUUAAAGUGCAAAAUAUGUGCCCAGGAGUUCUCUGAUGAUCAGUGUCUCGCGUUACAUUGGACAGAAGUUCACCGAAAGGAGACCCGAUGGCUGUUCAGAGGGUAUUCUUGUGCUGUUUGCAUGGAUCCAUUUACCAACAGAAAAGUUCUUGAAAAACAUGUACAAGAAAAACAUGGUGCUCAAUAUCUCCAAUAUUCGAUUCUCUUCCGAUGCAUGUCAUGUGACAGCAACUUCUUGAACAUGGAUCUGCUAUGGCAACAUAUUGUUUCAGAUCAUGCCCACGAGUUCGGGCUUCUUGAUGCCCCACAACGACCUAAAGGUCAAUCUGUAAGAACAGAAGGGACAAGUUUCAAGGCCCUCUAUGAUAACCAUGACCUUGGGAAGGAUGAUGGCUCACAAAAGUUGACCUGUAGACUAUGUGGGUUGAGAUUCGAUCUACUGGCAGAUCUUGGCCGCCACAAUCAAGUUGCCCAUAUGGACCAAGGUACGGUUGGCCACAUUCCACCAGGACGUGGGAAGUAUCAACUUAACCGUGGUCGACACUACUAUUCUGCAUUCAAGAAAAACCUACGACCAUCAGGUUCAUUAAAGAAGAGGAGUAGCUCAGGGGUUGAGAAACAUUUUGAUAUUUCAAGCUCUGAUCUAUCUAUGAUAACAUCGCAAGUUGCGGAACCUGAAACAGCUAACCUUGGUAAGUUAGUGGAUUUCCAAUGCUCAGAUGUGGCUCAAACUUUAUUUUCAAAGAUUCAAAAGACAAGACCCCAUCCAAGUAACCUUGAUAUUUUAUCCGUGGCCCGUUCUGUAUGCUGUAAGACAAGUCUUCUUGCAGCAUUGGAAGUGAAAUAUGGAACAAUGCCUGAAAACAUAUUUGUGAAAGCUGCAAAGCUUUGUAGUGACAUUGGCAUCCCAAUCAAUUGGCAUCAAGAGGAAUUCACUUGUCCUAAGGGAUGCAAAUCUGGAUAUGCUUUAAAUACCCUGCCGCCUUUACAGCUUACCCAUGUUGAUUUCCCCACAGUAGCUUCUGUGAUGAAUCCUCCAGAAAAUGAUGGAACGUGGGGCAUGGAAGAAUACCAUUAUGUUCUUGAUUCAGAGCACUUCAUGUGGAAGCUUAAAAAUGAGAGGGUUGUUCUUUGUGAAGAUGUAAGCUUUGGCAGGGAGAAAGUUCCAAUUGUCUGUGCAAUUGAUGUUGAUGCAAAAGAAUCUCUCCAUAUGAAACCUGAAGAAUUAUUGCAGCAUUGCAGUUCUGUGCCAUGGCAAGGUUUUCAUUACGUCACAACUCGUUUGAUGGAUUCAUCUCUUGUUGAUUCAGAGAGUUACAUGGUUGGCUGUGCGUGUUCUCAUGCCCAUUGCUCUCCUGAGAAAUGUGAUCAUGUGAACCUCUUUGACAGUGUUUAUGAGAACCUAGUGGAUAUGUAUGCUAUGCCAAUGCAUGGCAGAUUUGCAUACGAUGAAAAUGGCAAAACCAUUUUGCAGGAAGGAUAUCCGAUAUACGAGUGCAAUUCGCUAUGUACCUGUGAUGCAUCCUGUAAAAAUAAAGUUUUGCAGCAAGGGCUGCUGGUUAAAUUGGAACUCUUCAGAACUGACAAUAAGGGUUGGGCUGUUCGAGCUACAGAACCUAUUCCACAGGGUACUUUUGUGUGCGAGUAUGUCGGGGAGGUUGUGAAGGAUGAUGAGACCAUGAGAAACACAGAAAGUGAGUCAAAAAGUGGGUGCAGCUACCUUCUUGAUAUCGCUUCGCAUAUUGAUCGGGAAAGAGUUAAGACUUUAGGGACUACGCCAUACAUGAUUGAUGCUACAAGAUAUGGGAAUGUCUCCCGCUUUAUUAAUCAUAGUUGUUCGCCUAACCUUAGUGCCCGCUUAGUUCUGGUGGAAAGCAAAGAUUGCCAACUUGCUCAUGUUGGAUUGUUUGCCAGUCAAGAUAUUGCUGUUGGAGAAGAAUUGUCCUUUGAUUAUCGACGGAAGCUGCAAUCCGGUGAUGGCUGUCCCUGCCAUUGUGGAGCUCAGAAUUGCCGAGGCCGUGUUUAUUGAGUUUGCAGGGUGAAAAAAUAAAAGGGAAUGAUCCAUUGCUUGUAGCGCAUCUUCAGAAGCUCGUAGAAUGGGGUGGGGUCUCAUUCUGCAUGCCGCCAGCAAGUAGUGUUUGUGAUAUAGGAUUCUCACAGCAGUGACACUAGGUACACCAUAGCAUUGAUUUUAGUCAUGGCAACAUCAUGCUUAACUGACGAUUUGUUAGAAGCAGCCCGAAAUUAGAGUGAUUCAGGCGUCAUUUUCGUAGGCGAGAAUUCAGCGUCUUUGUAAAAUAUGUUCAUUCAAUUUUUACUGCUCUUGAGCUCCCAUCAUCGAAGUUGAAGCAAAGAGUCUGUACUUGUUAGUGAGACUGUUGGUCAUGGAGUUUUGCUUAUGUUGGGGUGCCUGUUUUCGGAAAUUGUUAUGCACUGUAAUUAUGGAUUUGUUGACCUGGAAAGAAGGAAAUCAAUUUGCAAUCGUUCU